Long non-coding RNA from Phyllostomus discolor (pale spear-nosed bat), 1226 nucleotides. RefSeq lists it as uncharacterized. The record is from RefSeq and is a predicted model, not a curated record. The transcript has 2 exons. Lineage: Eukaryota; Metazoa; Chordata; Mammalia; Chiroptera; Phyllostomidae.
CCUUCUUCUCCCUUCCCCCAAGUCUUCCUCACUAGAUUGGCAAGGCUUUGAGGUUAGAUCAGCGCCUAUCCUACCCUCCAUUCUAUCUCUUUGCCUUUAGCACUGCACUUACACAUAGUAAGUACUUAAGAAAUGUGCUUAAUUACCUAAUAAUUGAAUACACUGACUCAUUCAACCCCCAUAACAACCCUGUGAGGUAGGUAUUUCAUCAGACAAGGGGAAGCUGAGAGUCUGGGCAAGUGGUUUGCCCAAAGAACAGGGCAAGGGGAGGAGUCAGGUCUUGACGUCAAGUCCGGUGCUAAGUCCGGAGCCCGGAUUUUUCCGCUCCCGAGCCUUGGCUCAUUAGAGAAAGGGCCAGGAACCGAGCGGACUUUGAGCCCUGGUCAUCCACGUGGACCAGAGGAGACAGGGGCUCACUUACAGAGACAGAGUUACGCCUCCGCUGAUCUCACGAGUAAAAAUCAUAAUCUGCUGCAUAUGCAUGAGGGGACCAUGGGUCCGUGAUUCUGGACUGCCCAGAAUGCGCCUGACUAAAAAUUCUUCUGGCUUGAAGACUUUAGAGCCUCCAGAGUUCCGCACACGUACGCAAAAACUCCUCAAAAGGUCAUUUGGGGUGGAUAUUUGGGGGAUAUCGGGCAAGGGCGUCCUCAAUUUGGAUCUUAUGAUCAGGCAUCUUUUAUAGACAGCCAAAUCCCAGAAGGGGUCCUCGGCCGGCUGGACUAGAAGACGAAGGGGGCGUCUCCUCUGCUUCCUGAGACGUCUGUGGCGAGCUGAGGUGGAAGCGGGCUGCGACCGCGCAGGCGACAGUGGCGGCGGCGGCUAAUGGCAGGGCUCUCAGGGAACUGGUGUGUUGGGGACAGCUUCUGUUUGCCCUGCCUGACAAGGUCCAACCAUCCCCUCAGCCUUCUGGACAGCAACACCAAAGCCAGGACCAAAAAAAGUUCCAGCUUAAGUGCUAAUGCCAAGUGUUAGAUCGUGUUUAUUUGUUUUAAAUAAGAGACUAAUUAAUGUCAAGCAAAUGUGUUAAAAGAUUCAGAGCCCUUGCUGAUUUCCAGUGACCAUAUCAAUUCUGUAUCUGAAACUGGUCUUGUUAUAAUUCCUGCCAAAAAUAAUUUAACCUUUUAUGUGUAAUAUGUUGUUUUGAGGAGGAAUCUGGAAGUCUGGGUUUGGCCACCUUUUUUGUUGUUGUUCUCGAAUAUUUGAAACAUUGAAACAUAUGCCUUCCA